UCUUGUGUGAUCAUUUCUUUCUUCGUUUCAUCCCACUUUACACGUUUUUAUGUGAAAAAAAAAACGAAAUUUGCAAAUAAUUUGAUUUUCUUUUAAUUUUGAAGACACUUUGAAAGUGGCGGCAGCAAAGUAAGCAUGGCUAAGCUCUUCCUCCUCCGAUUUGGGAACUAACCAAAAGAUCAGUUUCUAGGGUUCUUCGUUCCGUCGAAUUAGGGACAUUUUCUCUAUGCAGGAAUGGAUAGCAGUAACUCGGAACAGGCCGUGCUUGAUGGCAAACUCUACAGACACCUCAAUUCUCUCAUCGUCGCGCAUCUUCGGGACAACAAUCUCACCCAGGCUGCAAGUGUUGUUGCUUCAGCAACCAUGACUCCACUGAAUGCGGAAGCCCCACCUAACAGGCUUCUCGACCUGGUUGCUAAGGGUCUUGCAGCGGAAAAGGGCGACAUCACAAGAGGCACUGAUUUCUCUGCCUCACUGCCCCUGUCUCACACAGCAGCUAUUGAUUUCAGCACUGCGCCUGAUAUGAAAGGUUCCUCAAAGAGCUUCCCGAAGCAUGAAACGCGGCACCUUUCGGAACACAAGAAUAUUGCCAGAUGUGCUAGGUUUAGUGCUGAUGGAAGGUUUGUUGCCACUGGAAGUGCUGAUACUUCAAUAAAGCUAUUUGAGGUUUCAAAGAUCAAGCAGAUGUUGCUGCCAGAGGCAAAGGAUGGUCCUGUGCGGCCUGUCAUUCGCACAUAUUAUGAUCAUAUACAACCAAUAAAUGAUCUGGAUUUUCAUCCACAAGGUACUAUCCUGAUUUCUGGAGCCAAAGAUCAAACAAUAAAGUUUUUUGAUAUUUCAAAAACGAAUGCAAAGAGAGCAUAUAGAGUUAUCCAGGACACACACAAUGUUCGAUCUGUAUCUUUCCAUCCUUCUGGGGACUUUUUACUGGCAGGAACUGAUCAUGCAAUUCCACAUUUGUAUGAUAUAAAUACCUUUCAGUGUUAUCUGUCAUCAAAUAUCCCAGAGACCAGCCCUAGUGGAGCCAUAAACCAGGUCAGAUAUUCUUGUACAGGUGCCAUGUAUGUUACAGCAUCUAAAGAUGGUGCUAUUAGGUUAUGGGAUGGCAUCACAGCCAAUUGUGUGCGGUCAAUAACUGCAGCACACGGAACAGCUGAGGCUACCAGUGCAAUUUUUACCAAAGAUCAAAGGUUUGUUCUCUCCUGCGGGAAGGAUUCUACCGUAAAGCUUUGGGAAGUUGGCUCUGGAAGAUUAGUCAGACAAUAUCUUGGAGCUAUACAUACCCAGCUAAGGUGUCAGGUAAUUAUUGUUUUGUUGGGUACAUUUGGAAGAACAGUUUAUCACAGCAGGACCUCUAUCCAAAACCUCUAGUCACCUAGCCGUUAGUCCAGGUGAUAUUUUUAUCCACAUUCUGAUAGUUACCUUUGUGUGCACUCUCUGCUGCAGGCUAUUUUUAAUCAGACAGAAGAAUUUAUUAUAUUCAUAGAUGAACUGAGCAAUGAGAUCGUUAUCUGGGAUGCAAUGACAACAGAAAAAGUUGCAAAGUGGCCUUCUAAUCAUGUUGGUGCACCCCGCUGGCUUGAACACUCACCAGUUGAGUCAGCUUUUAUUUCCUGUGGAACUGAUAGGUCAAUUCGGUUCUGGAAGGAGACUGUAUAAUAAAGGGGAGGAGGCUGAAUGCAUUUACAGGCACUAUUAAAGUUAUCAUUGAUUAGAAGUUAACUCAUGGAAUUUCACUUUAUCAUUGUUUAAUUUUUGUUAUCACUAGCCUUGCCCUACAGAAUAGUUAAUGCUUUCAACACUUGGAAUCAUAAGAUUACCUGUCUCUACCUAUGCGAUCUUCUCAAAUUUUAGACCGACUCUAACUGUUUCAUAUUUUCAUCAAAGUACCUUAAAGUUGGUUUGGAUAAACCUUGACGGGUCAUUAUGUCUUGGAGCUGGGUAUACUCAUGGCCUUUCGCUUUAGGAUGUUAUAAGUCUGUAUAAUCCGCAUCCUAGACUGAUGUACCUUAUUUCUUUAUAAACAUUUGCCCCGUGAAA
Unclassified non-coding RNA from Vigna unguiculata (cowpea), 2040 nucleotides. NCBI's taxonomy places the organism in Eukaryota, Viridiplantae, Streptophyta, Magnoliopsida, Fabales, Fabaceae. The record is from RefSeq and is a predicted model, not a curated record.